RNAcentral lists this ribosomal RNA (509 nucleotides) under Bacillus subtilis. RNAcentral describes it as "bacterial SSU rRNA". It matches the Rfam family "Bacterial small subunit ribosomal RNA", at positions 38 to 525 of the family's 1533-position model. The record is from RNAcentral. Lineage: Bacteria; Bacillati; Bacillota; Bacilli; Caryophanales; Bacillaceae.
AACAGGCGGUUGCAUAUACAUGCAGUCGAGCGGACAGAUGGGAGCUUGCUCCCUGAUGUUAGCGGCGGACGGGUGAGUAACACGUGGGUAACCUGCCUGUAAGACUGGGAUAACUCCGGGAAACCGGGGCUAAUACCGGAUGGUUGUUUGAACCGCAUGGUUCAAACAUAAAAGGUGGCUUCGGCUACCACUUACAGAUGGACCCGCGGCGCAUUAGCUAGUUGGUGAGGUAACGGCUCACCAAGGCAACGAUGCGUAGCCGACCUGAGAGGGUGAUCGGCCACACUGGGACUGAGACACGGCCCAGACUCCUACGGGAGGCAGCAGUAGGGAAUCUUCCGCAAUGGACGAAAGUCUGACGGAGCAACGCCGCGUGAGUGAUGAAGGUUUUCGGAUCGUAAAGCUCUGUUGUUAGGGAAGAACAAGUACCGUUCGAAUAGGGCGGUACCUUGACGGUACCUAACCAGAAAGCCACGGCUAACUACGUGCCCCCCCCCCCCGGUGUUAAA